AGAGUUUGAUCCUGGCUCAGAACGAACGCUGGCGGCGUGCCUAACACAUGCAAGUCGAACGGRRUURAGGGGCUUGCUCCUYAAUUUAGUGGCGCACGGGUGAGUAACGCGUAGAUAAUCUGCCUGAUGAUCUGGGAUAACACUUCGAAAGGGGUGCUAAUACCGGAUAAGCCCACGGAGUCUUUGGAUUYUGCGGGAAAAGGGGGGGACCWUYKGGCCUUCUGUCAUCAGAUGAGUCUGCGUACCAUUAGCUAGUUGGUAGGGUAAUGGCCUACCAAGGCUACGAUGGUUAGCUGGUYUGAGAGRAUGAUCAGCCACACUGGAACUGAGACACGGUCCAGACUCCUACGGGAGGCAGCAGUGGGGAAUUUUGCGCAAUGGGCGAAAGCCUGACGCAGCAACGCCGCGUGAGUGAUGAAGGCUUUCGGGUCGUAAAGCUCUGUCAGAGGGGAAAGAAGUGUAUUGUGGUUAAUACCCAUGGUACUUGACGGUACSCCURAAGGAAGCACSGGCUARSUCCGUGCCAGSAGCCGCGGUAAUACGGGGGGUGCAAGCGUUGUUCGGAAUUAUUGGGCGUAAAGMGCGUGUAGGCGGUUUGUUAAGUCUGUUGUGAAAGCCCUGGGCUCAACCCAGGAAGUGCAYUGGAUACUGGCAGACUUGAAUACGGGAGAGGGUAGUGGAAUUCCURGUGUAGGAGUGAAAUCCGUAGAUAUYAGGAGGAACACCGGUGGCGAAGGCGGCUACCUGGACCGAUAUUGACGCUGAGACGCGAAAGCGUGGGUAGCAAACAGGAUUAGAUACCCUGGUAGUCCACGCCGUAAACGAUGAGWACUAGGUGUUGCGGGUAUUGACCCCUGCAGUGCCGCAGCUAACGCAUUAAGUWCUCCGCCUGGGAAGUACGGUCGCAAGACUAAAACUCAAAGGAAUUGACGG
Molecule: ribosomal RNA, 933 nt
Filed under: uncultured bacterium
Lineage: Bacteria
Description: partial 16S ribosomal RNA
Rfam family: Bacterial small subunit ribosomal RNA
Source: RNAcentral